RNAcentral lists this ribosomal RNA (1355 nucleotides) under uncultured bacterium. RNAcentral's name for it is "bacterial SSU rRNA". It matches the Rfam family "Bacterial small subunit ribosomal RNA", at positions 28 to 1381 of the family's 1533-position model. The record is from RNAcentral.
AUUGAACGCUGGCGGCAGGCUUAACACAUGCAAGUCGAACGAUGAUUAUCUAGCUUGCUAGAUAUGAUUAGUGGCGGACGGGUGAGUAACAUUUAGGAAUCUGCCUAGUAGUGGGGGAUAGCUCGGGGAAACUCGAAUUAAUACCGCAUACGACCUACGGGUGAAAGGGGGCGCAAGCUCUUGCUAUUAGAUGAGCCUAAAUCAGAUUAGCUAGUUGGUGGGGUAAAGGCCCACCAAGGCGACGAUCUGUAACUGGUCUGAGAGGAUGAUCAGUCACACCGGAACUGAGACACGGUCCGGACUCCUACGGGAGGCAGCAGUGGGGAAUAUUGGACAAUGGGGGCAACCCUGAUCCAGCCAUGCCGCGUGUGUGAAGAAGGCCUUUUGGUUGUAAAGCACUUUAAGCAGGGAGGAGAGGCUAAUGGUUAAUACCCAUUAGAUUAGACGUUACCUGCAGAAUAAGCACCGGCUAACUCUGUGCCAGCAGCCGCGGUAAUACAGAGGGUGCGAGCGUUAAUCGGAAUUACUGGGCGUAAAGCGAGUGUAGGUGGCUCAUUAAGUCACAUGUGAAAUCCCCGGGCUUAACCUGGGAACUGCAUGUGAUACUGGUGGUGCUAGAAUAUGUGAGAGGGAAGUAGAAUUCCAGGUGUAGCGGUGAAGUGCGUAGAGAUCUGGAGGAAUACCGAUGGCGAAGGCAGCUUCCUGGCAUAAUAUUGACACUGAGAUUCGAAAGCGUGGGUAGCAAACAGGAUUAGAUACCCUGGUAGUCCACGCCGUAAACGAUGUCUACUAGCCGUUGGGGUCCUUGAGACUUUAGUGGCGCAGUUAACGCGAUAAGUAGACCGCCUGGGGAGUACGGCCGCAAGGUUAAAACUCAAAUGAAUUGACGGGGGCCCGCACAAGCGGUGGAGCAUGUGGUUUAAUUCGAUGCAACGCGAAGAACCUUACCUGGUCUUGACAUAGUGAGAAUCCUGCAGAGAUGCGGGAGUGCCUUCGGGAAUUCACAUACAGGUGCUGCAUGGCUGUCGUCAGCUCGUGUCGUGAGAUGUUGGGUUAAGUCCCGCAACGAGCGCAACCCUUUUCCUUAUUUGCCAGCGGGUUAAGCCGGGAACUUUAAGGAUACUGCCAGUGACAAACUGGAGGAAGGCGGGGACGACGUCAAGUCAUCAUGGCCCUUACGACCAGGGCUACACACGUGCUACAAUGGUAGGUACAGAGGGUUGCUACACAGCGAUGUGAUGCUAAUCUCAAAAAGCCUAUCGUAGUCCGGAUUGGAGUCUGCAACUCGACUCCAUGAAGUCGGAAUCGCUAGUAAUCGCAGAUCAGAAUGCUGCGGUGAAUACGUUCCCGGGCCU